This 403-nucleotide ribosomal RNA is filed under the name uncultured bacterium. Its description in RNAcentral is "bacterial SSU rRNA". It matches the Rfam family "Bacterial small subunit ribosomal RNA", at positions 355 to 774 of the family's 1533-position model. The record is from RNAcentral.
UGGGGAAUCUUGCGCAAUGGGCGAAAGCCUGACGCAGCAACGCCGCGUGCGGGAAGAAGGCCCUCGGGUUGUAAACCGCUUUCAGAAGGAACGAAAAUGACGGUACUUUCAGAAGAAGGUGCGGCCAACUACGUGCCAGCAGCCGCGGUGACACGUAGGCACCAAGCGUUGUCCGGAUUUAUUGGGCGUAAAGAGCUCGUAGGCGGUUCAGUAAGUCAGAUGUGAAAUCUUUAGGCUUAACCUAAAGCGUGCAUUUGAUACUGCUGUGACUUGAGUUCGGUAGGGGAGUGGGGAAUUCCUAGUGUAGCGGUGAAAUGCGCAGAUAUUAGGAGGAACACCGGUGGCGAAGGCGCCACUCUGGGCCGAAACUGACGCUGAGGAGCGAAAGCGUGGGUAGCAAACA